UGGGGAAUCUUGCGCAAUGGGCGAAAGCCUGACGCAGCGACGCCGCGUGAGGGAAGAAGGCCUUCGGGUUGUAAACCUCUUUCAGGAGGGACGAAGCUACUCGGGUUAAUAGCCCAGAGGGUGACGGUACCUCCAGAAGAAGCCCCGGCUAACUACGUGCCAGCAGCCGCGGUAAUACGUAGGGGGCAAGCGUUGUCCGGAAUCAUUGGGCGUAAAGAGCGUGUAGGCGGCCAGAUAAGUCCGCUGUGAAAUCUCGAGGCUCAACUUCGAGCUGUCGGUGGAAACUGUCUGGCUAGAGUCCGGAAGAGGAGAAUGGAAUUCCUGGUGUAGCGGUGAAAUGCGCAGAUAUCAGGAAGACACCCGUGGCGAAGGCGGUUCUCUGGGACGGUACUGACGCUGAGACGCGAAAGCGUGGGGAGCGAACAGGAUUAGAUACCCUGGUAGUCCACGCCGUAAACGAUGGGAACUAGGUGUGGGGGGUGUCGACUCCUCCGUGCCGAAGCUAACG
RNAcentral lists this ribosomal RNA (508 nucleotides) under uncultured Actinomycetes bacterium. Its description in RNAcentral is "bacterial SSU rRNA". It matches the Rfam family "Bacterial small subunit ribosomal RNA", at positions 355 to 857 of the family's 1533-position model. The record is from RNAcentral. Lineage: Bacteria; Bacillati; Actinomycetota; Actinomycetes.